CUUUGAUGGAAAAUUAAAAAACAAUUAUUGAUCAGUAGGACGACAAAUAUUUGGCAGAUAAGAGAAAGGGACGUUGGUAUUUUGACUUCUCACAAUUUUUGUUUCUUCUCAUUUGGGAUAUUCUCCUUAGUAUAUUCUUUUCUUUUGCAGCUUCAUGGGCUUGUACUUUUAGCUGCCCAUUGUGCAAUCUAAUAGAUGAAGGACUUCCGGGAGACAUUGGAUCCUUGUCCUCUUUGAAAGAGUUGAAUCUCCGGGGAAAUAAUUUUGAGCAUUUGCCUCGAAGCAUAUCUCAACUUGGUGCUCUUCUAUCCUUGGACUUAUCAGAUUGCUAGAGGUUUACCCAACUGCCAGAACUUCCACCAGAAUUAGAUGCAUUGCAUGCAUAUUGGAGCAAUGAUACGAUCUAUAAUUCGUUUGAACAUGUCAUGUUUCAAAAUAUCUCUUCCCCACAGCAUGACAUCUCUGCUUCAGAUUCCUUGUCACUAAGAGUGUUUACCAUCGGGAAGAAUAGCCCAAGUUGGUUCCACCGUCGUGGAAUUGGUAGAAGUGCAUCUGUCAAUUUGCCUGAAAAUUGGUAUGUAUGUGAUAACUUCUUGGGAUUUGCUGUAUGUUACUCUUACAAAUUAGUUGACAUGAUAGCUCACCCGAUUCCCUUACGUAAUGAUGGGAUGUCGUGGAUCACCCAGAAACUUGCCUUAUACAACCAUUGAAAAUGUGAUACAACAUCUAGUAUUCAUUUUUUCUUGGUACUUUUUGCUGGCUUAUGGGAUAUAUCAAAGGCAAAUGGAAAAACACCAAAUGACUAUGGACUUAUCAGGUUAUAUUUUUCCGGAGAAAUGAAGAAGUAUGGAUUUCGUUUGUUAUAUAAAGUUGAACCUGAGCUUGAGGCCUUGUUACAAAUGAGGGGAAAUAAUGAUGAGCCAACAGAACUUUGCAUUGGGAUAAGGAGGCGCAAAUAUGACGAUAGUGAAAACCAUGAAGAAGCCAGUUGCUCCUUUUGUAAGAAACACACGACACAUUAUAAUAUCCGUGGCUCUGUUUUCGAGAAUCUGCCGUAACAAGUAGAAGCUCCAGUCUCUUCAAAAACGUUGCAGCUCUUCCCCACAAGCCCAUGAUUUUAGAUUAAAUAUUGAGUUCAUCAAUGGGUGAUGUAGACAUCAAUAGUGGGUUUUGUCAAUUGAUUCCCCAUCUUGUAUUCGACUUGUGUUGAGCCAUGAUUAACCAUGAUUUGAGUAGCUCACAAGCUGCGAAGAUAGAGUAAGGAACACCCAUUUGCACAACUCUCAGGAUCGGAUUUGUGGUCCAGGUGCUUGCGACUUUGCAUCUUAUCUCGGUGCUCCAUCUUAAGUCAUUUACUGCAAGCCAGUAUUCUGCUUUUAUGUAUACCCGCAGAUAUAAAGAUUUCACUGAGCGAUCAUUGGUAGAUGGAGAUUCAUUUGAGGUUCUUCUCAUAGGAAAGACAAAGGAUUGUUAUUCCCAAAGGUCCCCACUGAUCCAUUAAUAGUUCAUUUUUAUGCUCCCGGAUUGUUACAUUUGGGGAAAUCUCUGUUUUGAAUCUGAUUGCUUUAACUUUUACAUACAGAUAUCUUUGUUAUGGUGGGGAGUAGGGUAAAAGAUGAAACAAUUGACAUGAGUUGGAUUAGGUCACACGAAUCAUCGUUGUGUGAUUCAAUCUAGUUCAGCAGUAUUCCUGGAUUGACAGAAUAUUUUCUUUUAUUGAAAGCUUGUAUUAUAUGUUUACUUGUAUUUGUGCUAUUGUUAUCCGACAACAUUGAUGUAUAUGAAGGUCUUGAGAUACGUUGGAGUCGUGGACGUGUCAACUGAAAAGGGGCAGUCGAGCUGGAGUAAAUAACAUUAUCCAUUUGCACAACUCUCAGGAUUGGAUAACAUAAAUGCAUUCGCAACUGAAAAAUAUGCAAAUCAACUUCUAUUAGUCCGUUGUCCAGAUGUAUACCUGACAGAUAUAAAGAUUUCACUGAGCUAUCAUUGGUAGAUGAAGAUUCCUUUGAAGUUCUUCUCAUAGAAAAGGCAAAGGGUUAUGAUUCCCUAAGGGAGGUCGGGAAAAAGAUGAAACAUUCAAAGAUGCAGCAAGCAUGAGACGGUGAGGAAGCUGGAAUACGAGGUGAAGUUGAGUGCAAACUGGGACCAUGGUGCUUUUAGAACAAACUGUAACACUGUCUAUGAAGGGCACAUGUUUCCUCUGUUUGUAACAGAACAACUACACUACCUGAGAAAGAGAUUCGAAAAAUUUAGCAACUCAACUAAUUGUA
This is a long non-coding RNA of Lycium barbarum (goji berry), 2270 nucleotides long. RefSeq lists it as uncharacterized. NCBI's taxonomy places the organism in Eukaryota, Viridiplantae, Streptophyta, Magnoliopsida, Solanales, Solanaceae. The record is from RefSeq and is a predicted model, not a curated record. The transcript has 7 exons.